GCAGAUCCAGGUCCCGCCUCUGAUGCUUUAUGAAAGCUGGCUUCGCUCUGUUCAUCACUCUGCUGAUCAGACUGACAUCAUGCUGCUCACCGUCUGCGCUCUGCUCCCUGCUCUGGCAGUGGUCAGCUCACAGAAAGUAGUGACGCAAAAGCCUCCAGUUAUAACAGUAGAUAAGGGGAACUCUGUCACUAUGGACUGUAACAUCGCAAAGGAUCAAGGCAACAAAGUCUCCUGGUAUAAACAGAUUUCACCAGCAGCUCCAGAGUUUGUGUUGAGAUUUUAUCAUUCUCACUCCGCUCCUGAUAAAUACGGAGACAAUUUUUCAUCCACACGCUUCACAUCUAAAGCCUCAUCAAGCGUCGACUACCAGUUAAUAAUCAGUAAUGUGGAGGUGGGAGACUCAGCAGUGUAUUACUGUCAGACAUGGGAUGACUCUACUAGUACAGCUGUAUUCGGCCAAGGAACAAAGCUGAUCAUCAGCGGUAAGUAA
Molecule: non-coding RNA, 490 nt
Organism: Clarias gariepinus (North African catfish)
Lineage: Eukaryota; Metazoa; Chordata; Actinopteri; Siluriformes; Clariidae
Source: the annotation of a RefSeq genome assembly